CUUAUGCUUCUGAAAAUUAAUCCUUGUUUCUUAUUUGGUACUUGUUUGAUUACUUUUGCUCCUCUUCAGUCUACCUUUAUGUUUGAUGCAUAGCAUUCUGCUGCUAGUGCUGUUACCGUGUUGCCAUUCCUUAUGUCUUUUUCAUGUUCAUGGAGUCUUUCUUUCACUGGCUGUACCCUAAAUGAAGCAUUAGAAAUAGUCAAAUUUUUAUUUUAGCAGGGCCUACAGUUAUUCUUCAGAUGUAGCAGUACUAAACUGAGAAAUUGAGUACAUUUACCACAUUGGAUAUCACCUUAGUUCCUAGAUAACAUACACCAUAAGAUAAGAGACAAGCAGCAAGGUAUGCUCUGCACCAAAAACCAGCAACAAACCCAGCAGAACACUUUUGUACCAAUACUGUAUCCUUUGAGAAGAGGCUGUUAUAAGAGAAGCAGUCCGUAGGUCCGGGAACAGGAUAGCUCCUAAGAGGUCACCAACUCUUAAUGCAUUGCAAAACAAGAAGGAUGUUAGAAAGUCAUUUGAGAGAUCUGGAGUUUAUAUGAUACCUCUCAAAUACCAACUGCAGAACAUAGAGGCUACCUACAUCAGCGUGACUACUAGGACACUGAACCAAAGACUCAACAAGCACAAGAAAGAUAUUAACAUGGGUAAGACAACCACAACUUUGGUGGAGCAGGCAUACACUAAUGACGUUGUUAUAGAUUGGGAUAAUGCAAGAGUAAUAAAGCCUAUCACUAAAUCAGCCCAAGUGAUCACGCACGAGACCCUACAGAUCCUAACCAGAAAAGCCAUGCG
RNAcentral lists this long non-coding RNA (795 nucleotides) under Androctonus crassicauda. Lineage: Eukaryota; Metazoa; Arthropoda; Arachnida; Scorpiones; Buthidae. The record is from RNAcentral.